RNAcentral lists this small nuclear RNA (342 nucleotides) under Ochotona princeps (American pika). RNAcentral describes it as "7SK RNA (ENSOPRG00000022079.1)". The stretch from base 1 to 297 matches the Rfam family "7SK RNA". Rfam says of the family: 7SK was discovered as an abundant small nuclear RNA in the mid-70s but a possible function has only recently been suggested. Two independent studies have found that 7SK RNA binds the CDK9/cyclin T complex (known as elongation factor P-TEFb). The record is from RNAcentral. Lineage: Eukaryota; Metazoa; Chordata; Mammalia; Lagomorpha; Ochotonidae.
GGAUGUGAGGGAGAUCUGGCUGCAACAUCUGUCACCCCAUUGAUCGGCAGGAUUGAUUUGACUGAUCUGGCUGGCCAGACAGGUAUCAUCUUCCUCCCUCACUGCUACAUGUGCGUCCUUCUCGAAGCUGUGUGCUCAGUUAAAAGAGGACCACCAUUCACCUCGCUAGAGGAGGAGGACUGGUUUUGGGUCAAGGGUAUAUGAGUAACUGUACUCCCCUGCUAGAACCUCCAAACAAGCUCUCAAGAUGCCCAAGUCUCACUUGGAAGUGCCUGGGUUAGAUACCAACUCAGGUCUGUUAACCCAAACCAGAGGAGGCAGUGGUGAUGGUUCAAGUGCUUG